Molecule: ribosomal RNA, 2902 nt
Filed under: Escherichia coli
Lineage: Bacteria; Pseudomonadati; Pseudomonadota; Gammaproteobacteria; Enterobacterales; Enterobacteriaceae
Description: 23S ribosomal RNA
Rfam family: Bacterial large subunit ribosomal RNA
Source: RNAcentral
UUAAGCAACUAAGCGUACACGGUGGAUGCCCUGGCAGUCAGAGGCGAUGAAGGACGUGCUAAUCUGCGAUAAGCGUCGGUAAGGUGAUAUGAACCGUUAUAACCGGCGAUUUCCGAAUGGGGAAACCCAGUGUGUUUCGACACACUAUCAUUAACUGAAUCCAUAGGUUAAUGAGGCGAACCGGGGGAACUGAAACAUCUAAGUACCCCGAGGAAAAGAAAUCAACCGAGAUUCCCCCAGUAGCGGCGAGCGAACGGGGAGGAGCCCAGAGCCUGAAUCAGUGUGUGUGUUAGUGGAAGCGUCUGGAAAGGCGCGCGAUACAGGGUGACAGCCCCGUACACAAAAAUGCACAUGCUGUGAGCUCGAUGAGUAGGGCGGGACACGUGGUAUCCUGUCUGAAUAUGGGGGGACCAUCCUCCAAGGCUAAAUACUCCUGACUGACCGAUAGUGAACCAGUACCGUGAGGGAAAGGCGAAAAGAACCCCGGCGAGGGGAGUGAAAAAGAACCUGAAACCGUGUACGUACAAGCAGUGGGAGCACAGAGCAAUCUGUGUGACUGCGUACCUUUUGUAUAAUGGGUCAGCGACUUAUAUUCUGUAGCAAGGUUAACCGAAUAGGGGAGCCGAAGGGAAACCGAGUCUUAACCGGGCGUUAAGUUGCAGGGUAUAGACCCGAAACCCGGUGAUCUAGCCAUGGGCAGGUUGAAGGUUGGGUAACACUAACUGGAGGACCGAACCGACUAAUGUUGAAAAAUUAGCGGAUGACUUGUGGCUGGGGGUGAAAGGCCAAUCAAACCGGGAGAUAGCUGGUUCUCCCCGAAAGCUAUUUAGGUAGCGCCUCGUGAAUUCAUCUCCGGGGGUAGAGCACUGUUUCGGCAAGGGGGUCAUCCCGACUUACCAACCCGAUGCAAACUGCGAAUACCGGAGAAUGUUAUCACGGGAGACACACGGCGGGUGCUAACGUCCGUCGUGAAGAGGGAAACAACCCAGACCGCCAGCUAAGGUCCCAAAGUCAUGGUUAAGUGGGAAACGAUGUGGGAAGGCCCAGACAGCCAGGAUGUUGGCUUAGAAGCAGCCAUCAUUUAAAGAAAGCGUAAUAGCUCACUGGUCGAGUCGGCCUGCGCGGAAGAUGUAACGGGGCUAAACCAUGCACCGAAGCUGCGGCAGCGACACUGUGUGUUGUUGGGUAGGGGAGCGUUCUGUAAGCCUGUGAAGGUGUGCUGUGAGGCAUGCUGGAGGUAUCAGAAGUGCGAAUGCUGACAUAAGUAACGAUAAAGCGGGUGAAAAGCCCGCUCGCCGGAAGACCAAGGGUUCCUGUCCAACGUUAAUCGGGGCAGGGUGAGUCGACCCCUAAGGCGAGGCCGAAAGGCGUAGUCGAUGGGAAACAGGUUAAUAUUCCUGUACUUGGUGUUACUGCGAAGGGGGGACGGAGAAGGCUAUGUUGGCCGGGCGACGGUUGUCCCGGUUUAAGCGUGUAGGCUGGUUUUCCAGGCAAAUCCGGAAAAUCAAGGCUGAGGCGUGAUGACGAGGCACUACGGUGCUGAAGCAACAAAUGCCCUGCUUCCAGGAAAAGCCUCUAAGCAUCAGGUAACAUCAAAUCGUACCCCAAACCGACACAGGUGGUCAGGUAGAGAAUACCAAGGCGCUUGAGAGAACUCGGGUGAAGGAACUAGGCAAAAUGGUGCCGUAACUUCGGGAGAAGGCACGCUGAUAUGUAGGUGAAGUCCCUCGCGGAUGGAGCUGAAAUCAGUCGAAGAUACCAGCUGGCUGCAACUGUUUAUUAAAAACACAGCACUGUGCAAACACGAAAGUGGACGUAUACGGUGUGACGCCUGCCCGGUGCCGGAAGGUUAAUUGAUGGGGUCAGCGCAAGCGAAGCUCUUGAUCGAAGCCCCGGUAAACGGCGGCCGUAACUAUAACGGUCCUAAGGUAGCGAAAUUCCUUGUCGGGUAAGUUCCGACCUGCACGAAUGGCGUAAUGAUGGCCAGGCUGUCUCCACCCGAGACUCAGUGAAAUUGAACUCGCUGUGAAGAUGCAGUGUACCCGCGGCAAGACGGAAAGACCCCGUGAACCUUUACUAUAGCUUGACACUGAACAUUGAGCCUUGAUGUGUAGGAUAGGUGGGAGGCUUUGAAGUGUGGACGCCAGUCUGCAUGGAGCCGACCUUGAAAUACCACCCUUUAAUGUUUGAUGUUCUAACGUGGACCCGUGAUCCGGGUUGCGGACAGUGUCUGGUGGGUAGUUUGACUGGGGCGGUCUCCUCCUAAAGAGUAACGGAGGAGCACGAAGGUUGGCUAAUCCUGGUCGGACAUCAGGAGGUUAGUGCAAUGGCAUAAGCCAGCUUGACUGCGAGCGUGACGGCGCGAGCAGGUGCGAAAGCAGGUCAUAGUGAUCCGGUGGUUCUGAAUGGAAGGGCCAUCGCUCAACGGAUAAAAGGUACUCCGGGGAUAACAGGCUGAUACCGCCCAAGAGUUCAUAUCGACGGCGGUGUUUGGCACCUCGAUGUCGGCUCAUCACAUCCUGGGGCUGAAGUAGGUCCCAAGGGUAUGGCUGUUCGCCAUUUAAAGUGGUACGCGAGCUGGGUUUAGAACGUCGUGAGACAGUUCGGUCCCUAUCUGCCGUGGGCGCUGGAGAACUGAGGGGGGCUGCUCCUAGUACGAGAGGACCGGAGUGGACGCAUCACUGGUGUUCGGGUUGUCAUGCCAAUGGCACUGCCCGGUAGCUAAAUGCGGAAGAGAUAAGUGCUGAAAGCAUCUAAGCACGAAACUUGCCCCGAGAUGAGUUCUCCCUGACCCUUUAAGGGUCCUGAAGGAACGUUGAAGACGACGACGUUGAUAGGCCGGGUGUGUAAGCGCAGCGAUGCGUUGAGCUAACCGGUACUAAUGAACCGUGAGGCUUAACCU